This 558-nucleotide ribosomal RNA is filed under the name uncultured Methylobacterium sp. RNAcentral describes it as "bacterial SSU rRNA". It matches the Rfam family "Bacterial small subunit ribosomal RNA", at positions 102 to 694 of the family's 1533-position model. Lineage: Bacteria; Pseudomonadati; Pseudomonadota; Alphaproteobacteria; Hyphomicrobiales; Methylobacteriaceae. The record is from RNAcentral.
ACGGGUGAGUAACGCGUGAGAACGUGCCCUUCGGUUCGGAAUAACUCAGGGAAACUUGAGCUAAUACCGGAUACGCCCUUUUGGGGAAAGGCUUGACUGCCGAAGGAUCGGCCCGCGUCUGAUUAGCUAGUUGGUGAGGUUACGGCUCACCAAGGCGACGAUCAGUAGCUGGUCUGAGAGGAUGAUCAGCCACACUGGGACUGAGACACGGCCCAGACUCCUACGGGAGGCAGCAGUGGGGAAUAUUGGACAAUGGGGGCAACCCUGAUCCAGCCAUGCCGCGUGAGUGAUGACGGCCUUAGGGUUGUAAAGCUCUUUUCUCCGGGACGAUAAUGACGGUACCGGAGGAAUAAGCCCCGGCUAACUUCGUGCCAGCAGCCGCGGUAAUACGAAGGGGGCUAGCGUUGCUCGGAAUCACUGGGCGUAAAGGGCGCGUAGGCGGCUGAUUUAGUCGAGGGUGAAAGCCCGUGGCUCAACCACGGAAUGGCCUUCGAUACUGGUUGGCUUGAGACCGGAAGAGGACAGCGGAACUGCGAGUGUAGAGGUGAAAUUCGUAGA